AUAAAUUGGCCAAAAGUGGGUUUAAUGCAGCCCUUGCCUGCAGUGCAGUACAAAGCGUGCAGGCUCUCUUGUAUAAACCGUAAUAGAAAAUGACAGCAGAACACAGAGAAUAUUUACCUGUAGAAACCAUACAAACACCAGGAGAACACUAGUGGAACAUACACAAAGCACACCACCACCAAUGUUUGUCAGACAGUAAAAACGAGUAUCCAAAGCUUUUGUAAAAACCCAUUUGAUAUCAAAAGUCUCAAUGUCAGCAGCAGCAUUAAACUGAACCCAACUAAUGUCAUCAGUGGAGUGGUUGUGACAUUCCCAGUAAAUCAAAGAGUGAGGAAUUGGUAUGAAACAACACAGCUGAGAGUGGCGCAUCCUGAGCUGCUGCACAUCUUAAAACCUCAUACAGAAAAAUAAGUAACACUAAGCAGCAUGAAAGCAUAACCAACUUACAGGCUGGGAUCUGAAAUGUAAACUUAGGGUUUAUUUCACAAGGUUUACAUUCCAAACGGAAGCUAGAAAAGGAAGAAACGACAUUUUUAGGGAAGAGAGAAAAGCAACACGGGCAGAUGCAUCCCACUGCCCUGUGCAAAGCCAAGCCUGAGCGAGGAGAACCACAGACCCACACCUGCCAUUCAGAUUAGGUACAAAUACAUGGCACAACUGCUCAAAAUGACACCCACUCACCUUCACAGGGUCCAAAAACCACCACAGGCAGCUGAAAGCUGGCGAUAUUGUAGCUGAUAUAUUCAGGAGGAAGAGGAAAGACUCUCAGAGGGAGAUGGAAGAACGAGAAUAAAGCUGCGUGACAGGGGGUAUGAUCUGGGAGUUCAUCACUGGGGAAGGACACAAAGCAUCGAGCAGGAAGAGCACCAGCAGUGCUGUCGUGGAGCUCCGACACACCAGCGCCUCCAAUGAGCCCCCACUCCACAGGGAAACGCUGUAACUGGUGGCUUCAGAACGAGUUUGUAAGUCUCUGUAACAAACCCCCACCUGACAGAAUGGGAAAGGUCUCAAACUCAAGGUAUUUUCAAGUACUAUGGAUUAACUUCAACAAUUGGUACCAGAGGAGUCACCGAACAAAGAAUGUGACCCUUUGAGUUAGCUGACUGCGGCUUUACUGAGGUCAGCAGCACCUCCUUCACCCGCUCUGCAAACACUGAAUGUGCAAGGACUGCAGAGGCAGCACGUCCCUGAAUCCACCUCAGCACAUUGUCCUUUAGCUCUGACUUUGGGGAAGAAACAGUAAAUUCUUUUUAACCCCCCCCUCUACCCCCCCCCCCAACACUUUACAUUCAUAUUAUGUUACAGACUUUAUGCAGCAGGUUUGGUAACUACCACUAGGUUGUGCUUUCAGUCCACACCAGCACAGGGAGCUAACAACUACAGCUAGUCUAGAGUCUGCUGGUUUGCUCCAGGAAGUUAUUCAUCCCUGCAGC
RNAcentral lists this long non-coding RNA (1433 nucleotides) under Strigops habroptila (Kakapo). RNAcentral describes it as "lncRNA (ENSSHBG00005007904.1)". Lineage: Eukaryota; Metazoa; Chordata; Aves; Psittaciformes; Psittacidae. The record is from RNAcentral.